Molecule: long non-coding RNA, 1929 nt
Organism: Daphnia magna
Lineage: Eukaryota; Metazoa; Arthropoda; Branchiopoda; Diplostraca; Daphniidae
Exons: 9
Source: RefSeq, a predicted model, not a curated record
UGGCGAUGAUGGUGCGGCGAUUUCGGAGUGUCGGCACUAAUCUCUCGUUCGUUUUUUAGUUUUCGACGCAAUGCCGCUAAAAUUGAUCUCAUUUUGUAGAGGAAAUAACGGAGCAGUCCGCAGUAGAGUCCCCAUUUUUUCGGCUGAACGACAAAGGAGUGCGUAGCAGUUUAGUCGGCCAACUCGAGUGAUUUCGUGGUCUCGUAUGAAUGUUUUAGGCGUUUUCUUAUUUUAGAUGCUGUGUCGCAAAAUUGAUGUUGUCUUGUAGAGGAGAUAACGCCUAGAUUAACGAAGAGAUCUUGUCGAUUAUCGGCUCAACGAUAAAGGAGUGCCCAGCAAUCUAAGAGCGACUCAAGUUUCAGCCGAUUUUUUUUUUCGGAGAGAUGGCGCGUCGGUCACGAAGAUACAGGAAAUCAGCCGCGAAGUUCUUGUUUAAGACGGGGCUUCGUGCGUCGCCUAGCAACAGAGGUUUUUCAACAGGCCGUGUGGCGUGUGCAGGUGUGUUCUCUAUUGUUUCGACUUUCGAGCAUAGUCGUCUAGAUCAAAAGGGGAAAUAUUGCCGUUGUUCAGUCACUUCGAUUUGAAAUUUAGCUGCUAGCAUGGACAUGGAGCAGUUCAGUUGGAAUCUUAAUUGGCGAAUUAACUGAAACCAGAAAGUUUCCCCAUGAAAAUGGCUAUGUGGCAUCUAUUGGAAAGUGGAUUUGAUGCCAGUGUACUGAUUCCAGAUCUUCCUUGAAACAUGAGCCUUAAUGUAGCUGUGGGUCUGUCGAAUGUCUGGAGUGCUCCAUCUGAUGCCAGAAAGAGGAUAGAUUUGUUUCACAAAUGAAGUUGCAUGGUAUGCUUGAAGUCCACUUGUCUUCCUUUUUAUGAUGAUGGCAAUUCGUACUGCAUUAACCAUGAACAGUCUACCUCUAAGAAGACCUGACUACUUGCAUAUGACUAGACUGUCCCUCUCUGUUCCCAAAAUAUAUGAUUGUAUUUGGUGUUGACAGUUCGGUCCAGGAAGUGAGGUGUAUAGGAAGAGUUGCCAGAGAAGACUUUGUCGUUGAACUGCUGACACGAGAUAAUCUACAGGCUUUUUGUUGUGUAACUAAGUUUUCAAAUUCUAUAUAUUGUCGGAGGUAGAAGGUUGGACGAAGAUGAUUCCUGAAUCGCUUGCUCAACUGACGAGCCAAAAAUUACGAGCCGAUGACCAACCGAGUGGAAUCCUGGGUACUUAAUCACACGUGGGCAACACAGUUUCAGAUUGAUUCCAAAUCUUCAGCUUCCCAGGCAGACACCCAUCCACAAAGCCAUGGGUGAUAGAUGAUAUUCACAGUGGGCACGACUGCGUUGUAAAUUAGUAUCACUUUACAAAGCCAAACAGAUUUAGAUCACGUGUCUAUUGUGAAAGAGAUCAUGUGUCUCAACGAAAAUGACUCUCUCCGUUUGCGACAUCAGACCUCCCCAUCUGUCCCCACAUCCCAGUCCCCAUUCUGAUGCAAAAAUCUUGGAAUCAAGUUGAACAUUUUGAACCAUCUCAGGACAAAGCUGAAGUUCUAGAUGCAUUAGAAAAUUCGUCGCAUUUUGGUUAGAGUAUCUUCGCCGUCCGAUCCAUCAGUUGGAAUGAUGCAUCCAUCAACAGAAUGUAUUAAAUAGGAAAGUAAUCACCAAAUGCCGACUGGACGAUUUCCAUGCAAGAUGAAUGAUAAAAUCCAAGGAGAUCUGGAGAACCAUUAGCUGAAUACAAUGAAUACUAUCAGUUCUCCAGAAAAAAGGCCAACAUAGGUUAAUAAUCAUGCUGUAUCAAAAGAGGUACAUACUUGAACGAGAUGUUAAAACCAUAUCAGCUGGAAGGGCACGUGGAAAUUUCAAAGGACGCUACUUGCACGUUACCUUUAGUCGUUGGUUCAUCUCGAAGAUAAAAUAUAAAAAAUUUUAUAAAUUGAA